CGGAGGCAGCAGUGAGGAAUUGUUCGCAAUGGGCGCAAGCCUGACGACGCAACGCCGCGUGGAGGAUGAAGAUCUUCGGAUCGUAAACUCCUGUCGAGCGGGACGAACGGCCCGUGACCUAACACGUCGCGGGAGUGACGGUACCGCUAAAGGAAGCCCCGGCUAACUCCGUGCCAGCAGCCGCGGUAAUACGGGGGGGGCCAGCGUUGUUCGGAAUUACUGGGCGUAAAGGGCGCGUAGGCGGCCUUCUAAGUCGGACGUGAAAUCCCUCGGCUCAACCGGGGAACUGCGUCCGAUACUGGAGGGCUUGGAUCCGGGAGAGGGAUGCGGAAUUCCAGGUGUAGCGGUGAAAUGCGUAGAUAUCUGGAGGAACACCGGUGGCGAAGGCGGCAUCCUGGACCGGCAUCGACGCUGAGGCGCGAAAGCCAGGGGAGCAAACGGGAUUAGAUACCCGAGUAGUCAA
This 463-nucleotide ribosomal RNA is filed under the name uncultured bacterium. RNAcentral describes it as "bacterial SSU rRNA". It matches the Rfam family "Bacterial small subunit ribosomal RNA", at positions 343 to 797 of the family's 1533-position model. The record is from RNAcentral.